This 75-nucleotide antisense RNA is filed under the name Streptomyces rubellomurinus. RNAcentral's name for it is "ASpks TB sRNA". It matches the Rfam family "ASpks TB sRNA". Lineage: Bacteria; Bacillati; Actinomycetota; Actinomycetes; Kitasatosporales; Streptomycetaceae. The record is from Rfam by way of RNAcentral. RNAcentral also lists the same sequence under 2 other names.
CUUCAACGAGCCGAGCCGGAGCGGCUGUGCGGCGUCCCGAUGGCGGCCGUAGGUGGCCAGCAGGGCCUGCGCCUC